CAGUCAGAGGAAUGAUGUAUUACAGACGAGCUUUGAAAAUUCAGGCUUUUCUCGACAUGGCUACUGAAAAUGGUAUGUUCUCUG
This is a non-coding RNA of Gossypium arboreum, 84 nucleotides long. The record is from Rfam. NCBI's taxonomy places the organism in Eukaryota, Viridiplantae, Streptophyta, Magnoliopsida, Malvales, Malvaceae.